RNAcentral lists this ribosomal RNA (460 nucleotides) under uncultured bacterium. Its description in RNAcentral is "partial 16S ribosomal RNA". It matches the Rfam family "Bacterial small subunit ribosomal RNA", at positions 338 to 795 of the family's 1533-position model. The record is from RNAcentral.
CCUACGGGAGGCAGCAGUGAGGAAUAUUGGUCAAUGGACGAGAGUCUGAACCAGCCAAGUAGCGUGAAGGAUGACUGCCCUAUGGGUUGUAAACUUCUUUUAUAUGGGAAUAAAACGUUCCACGUGUGGGAUUUUGUAUGUACCAUAUGAAUAAGGAUCGGCUAACUCCGUGCCAGCAGCCGCAGUAAUACGGAGGAUCCGAGCGUUAUCCGGAUUUAUUGGGUUUAAAGGGAGCGUAGGUGGAUUGUUAAGUCAGUUGUGAAAGUUUGCGGCUCAACCGUAAAAUUGCAGUUGAAACUGGCAGUCUUGAGGACAGUAGAGGUGGGCGGAAUUCGUGGUGUAGCGGUGAAAUGCUUAGAUAUCACGAAGAACUCCGAUUGCGAAGGCAGUUCACUGGACUGCAACUGACACUGAGGCUCGAAAGUGUGGGUAUCAAACAGGAUUAGAUACCCUAGUAGUC